This 239-nucleotide ribosomal RNA is filed under the name uncultured cyanobacterium. Its description in RNAcentral is "partial 16S ribosomal RNA". It matches the Rfam family "Bacterial small subunit ribosomal RNA", at positions 33 to 303 of the family's 1533-position model. The record is from RNAcentral. Lineage: Bacteria; Bacillati; Cyanobacteriota.
ACGCUGGCGGCGUGCUUAACACAUGCAAGUCGAACGAACCUUCGGGUUAGUGGCGGACGGGUGAGUAACGCGUGAGAAUCUGCCCUCAGGAGGGGGAUAACGGUUGGAAACGACCGCUAAUACCCCAUAUGCCGCGAGGUGAAAUGAAUUUCGCCUGGGGAUGAGCUCGCGUCUGAUUAGCUAGUUGGUGGGGUAAAGGCCUACCAAGGCAUCGAUCAGUAGCUGGUCUGAGAGGAUGA